This 252-nucleotide ribosomal RNA is filed under the name uncultured bacterium. Its description in RNAcentral is "partial 16S ribosomal RNA". It matches the Rfam family "Bacterial small subunit ribosomal RNA", at positions 524 to 776 of the family's 1533-position model. The record is from RNAcentral.
UACGGGGGGUGCGAGCGUUGUCCGGAUUCACUGGGCGUAAAGGGCGCGUAGGCGGCCCCGUCAGUCGGUCUUUUAAGAGCGGGGCUCACCCCCGUGGGGGGACCGGGACGGCGGGGCUGGGGCGCGGCAGGGGGAUGCGGAAUGCCGGGUGUAGUGGUGAAAUGCGUAGAGAUGUGGAGGAACACCGAUGGCGAAGGCAGCCCCCUGGGCUAACACUGACGCUCAUGCACGAAAGCGUGGGGAGCAAACAGG